This 361-nucleotide transfer-messenger RNA is filed under the name Methylobacteriaceae bacterium. It matches the Rfam family "Alphaproteobacteria transfer-messenger RNA". From Rfam's summary of the family: Bacterial tmRNA, also known as 10Sa RNA or SsrA, is named for its dual tRNA and mRNA-like properties. Its role is to liberate the mRNA from a stalled ribosome. To accomplish this part of the tmRNA is used as a reading frame that ends in a translation stop signal. Lineage: Bacteria; Pseudomonadati; Pseudomonadota; Alphaproteobacteria; Hyphomicrobiales; Methylobacteriaceae. The record is from RNAcentral.
GGUCUUUUCAUAUCGGCAAAGAACACUUAUAUUUCACAUGUUCGCCAUGCGCGGACUAUGGUAAUAAACGAUCGUCGCAAUAAACCAUUCGGACCCGGGGGCGGUACCCGGCGCCUCCACCCGAACCCGUCGGUAUUCCGGCGGGUUCCGGUGGGGGCGAAACAGGAUCGACGAGGGCGUAAAGGAUGUGUCUUUUACCCGGCAUGGUACCGCCGUUAUCGGGCCAAACAAGUAGUUGCGAAUGACAACUAUGCACCGGUGAGAGUGGCUGCGUAAGCGGUUCCUUUAGCCGAACCUGAGUCCCGGCGGGUUUGCUCCGUCGGGCGGGGCCCGGAGGCGCCCGGCAACAGAAGCCUCCACC